CCAGCAGCCGCGGUAAUUCCAGCUCCAAUAGCGUAUACUAAAGUUGUUGCGAUUAAAAAGCUCGUAGUUGGAUCUCAGGCAUGGGCGCACGGUCCGCCUCGCGGCGGUCACUGUGUGAAUUGUUUUCCCAUCCUACGCUUCCCGGUUGUUCAGCCCAUGGUGCUCUUCAUUGAGCGUUUUGGGUGGCCGGAACGUUUACUUUGAAGAAAUUAGAGUGUUCAAAGCAGGCACAUCGCCUGAAUAAUGGUGCAUGGAAUGAUGGAAUAGGACCUCGGUUCUAUUUUGCUGGUUUUCGGAACACGAGGUAAUGAUUAAGAGGGACAGACGGGGGCAUCCGUAUUGCGGUGUUAGAGGUGAAAUUGGUGGAUCAU
Molecule: ribosomal RNA, 371 nt
Filed under: Lacuna vincta
Lineage: Eukaryota; Metazoa; Mollusca; Gastropoda; Littorinimorpha; Lacunidae
Description: SSU rRNA
Rfam family: Eukaryotic small subunit ribosomal RNA
Source: RNAcentral